RNAcentral lists this ribosomal RNA (465 nucleotides) under Vreelandella stevensii. RNAcentral's name for it is "partial 16S ribosomal RNA". It matches the Rfam family "Bacterial small subunit ribosomal RNA", at positions 338 to 795 of the family's 1533-position model. The record is from RNAcentral. Lineage: Bacteria; Pseudomonadati; Pseudomonadota; Gammaproteobacteria; Oceanospirillales; Halomonadaceae.
CCUACGGGGGGCUGCAGUGGGGAAUAUUGGACAAUGGGGGGAACCCUGAUCCAGCCAUGCCGCGUGUGUGAAGAAGGCCCUCGGGUUGUAAAGCACUUUCAGUGAGGAAGAACGCCUGGUGGUUAAUACCCAUCAGGAAAGACAUCACUCACAGAAGAAGCACCGGCUAACUCCGUGCCAGCAGCUGCGGUAAUACGGAGGGUGCGAGCGUUAAUCGGAAUUACUGGGCGUAAAGCGCGCGUAGGUGGCUUGAUAAGCCGGUUGUGAAAGCCCCGGGCUCAACCUGGGAACGGCAUCCGGAACUGUCAAGCUAGAGUGCAGGAGAGGAAGGUAGAAUUCCCGGUGUAGCGGUGAAAUGCGUAGAGAUCGGGAGGAAUACCAGUGGCGAAGGCGGCCUUCUGGACUGACACUGACACUGAGGUGCGAAAGCGUGGGUAGCAAACAGGAUUAGAUACCCGAGUAGUC